UCUGUCAAGCUAUCCUUCAAGGUUAAAUCUUUAAAAAAUGAAAUGAAAUUAUUGUUAUGCAUAAUAAAAAUCCCAUGGAAUUCCAGCCUUUUGUCAGGAAUAGUUGGAGGUAAAGUGGGAAUUUUAUAUUGUGAGAAAAUGAAUAUUACCACAAAUACCUGUGAGAAGUUUAAACAGGUAAUCUUUAGUCAGUGCUUUCUUUUUCCUUCUCAGAUAUUGGCCAAUAGAUGCUGCUUUAAGGAUCUGGUUACAGUAACUGUUUUCAUUGCUGUGUUCAGAAAAUGUGACCUCACUAGAGGAGCAGCACUGGUACAGGGACUACCAGGGCCCAGCAUCAGCAGAUAUCGGUGGACAUGCAGGCUCUGGCUGGGGACUGGCAUCGUGGGGUGUAAGCAGAGCAGCAGGACUGACGUGUCGUGGGGAACAAUGAAGUCAAGAGCUCCAAUUCUUCUUGGAAAGGGAAUUUGUGGAACAGAGGCAACCAACUGGGCAUCUUCUGCCCAUGGCAGCACAGCGAUGAAGCUGGGCCUGGCAUGGAAGGGAAAACACCCCACCAGGCAGCAGGACAUCUGACUGCCCGGACAACAGGAUCUCUGAAGGCAAACUUGAGGCUAAAAGUCUGGGCAGUAACUCCAGCUCUGGUUCUGGCAGUGACAACUAAUGAACCCGUGUCUCACUUUACCUUACACAGCAGUGAGGAGCUGGCUGUCUGAAGUGGGGGUGAGGAGGUGGCUUGCUGCAGCAGCGGCAUGCUGCUGACUGGAUGCAGCAGUGAAAGGCCGACUGUGUACUGCAAGGAUCUGGACAUCACACAGUCUCCCAAAAAUUUGACCGCAUACUCUGUGUGACUCAGAUUAGAUAAAACAACCCAAUUAACCUGAAUCUGGACUGACCUGUUCCUUUCAAGGGUGAAAGAAGUAGCCCAUUAUCCAUGAAGCCCAAAAACCUGGAAUUAAAACUCCUCGUAAUAGCUGAACUUUGCGGCUGAACUUUGUGUCCAUGUCAUGCUUUCAUAUUAAGCUGUGUAGAAUGUGGAGUGUUUAUUUUGCAGACCCAAAAGCAGGACCCAGGAAGUUGAAGUUAAAAUGUAAGAGAAGUUUAAAUCCAGAGUACAAGAGAACAAAGGACAAGAAAAGAUUAAGACAAUAUAUAUGCAGUGGGUUUGGUUAGAAGAUGUUCCAUUCCUGCAUGGUGUCUGUGAAUGCAGCAUGGACCUUUUCCCCGUCCCCUAGCUCACUAAUCAGAGGUUGGUUAUAAGGAGCAGCUGUGGCUUAUUCACUGACUCCUGGCAUUUGGUACUCAUUCCUGUCAUAUAUGGUAGUUAUGAUCACAGCGUGAACUUAGCAUUGUAGAUCUGAUUCAUUCCCCCUGCCGAUUGUUUGGCUAUGUAACUGUACAGUGUGGUCUACCCUGCUGCUGCCUUGUUGUUUUUAACUUUUGUUUUAAUCUUGUUGUGUGCUGUUUGUAUGCGCCUCUGCUCUGCUGCACUUUGUUGGUAUCCAGCAUGGGUGUGCCUUAUGGUACUUUUAACUGGAUUAAAGGUGUUAUACAUACUGUUGUUUUUAUAUUUUCUACUGAGUUGUGCUACUUGUGUUAGUUUUAUUUUACUUUUGUUUUAGUGAAGAGGUUGUAGGCUACCUCGCAAGUGGCUCAUCUUUAACUGUAUUAAUUAUUUUGUGGAACUGCAAUUUUAAUUAGAGCAACACAGUGGCAUGAAUUUUGUUUAUAAGCAAUG
Long non-coding RNA from Oreochromis niloticus (Nile tilapia), 1735 nucleotides. RefSeq lists it as uncharacterized. NCBI's taxonomy places the organism in Eukaryota, Metazoa, Chordata, Actinopteri, Cichliformes, Cichlidae. The record is from RefSeq and is a predicted model, not a curated record. The transcript has 3 exons.